GUACUGAUGAAGUGUCCCAAACUAGGACGAAACAGUUGUCCAGUAC
RNAcentral lists this non-coding RNA (46 nucleotides) under Trichobilharzia regenti. Lineage: Eukaryota; Metazoa; Platyhelminthes; Trematoda; Strigeidida; Schistosomatidae. The record is from RNAcentral.